CUUGGAAGCAGCCAUUCAUUUAAAGAGUGCGUAACAGCUCACUAGUCGAGGAGUUCUGCGUGGAUAAUAAUCGGGCAUAAGCCGUUUACCGAAGCUGUGGAAUUGGCAACAAUUGGUAGGGGAGCAUUCCAUAAGCCGCAGAAGGUUUUCCUUGAGGAAUGCUGGAGGUAAUGGAAAAGCAAAUGUAGGUAUAAGUAACGAUAAAGAGGGCGAGAACCCCUCUCGCCGAAAGACCAAGGGUUCCUGAUCAACGCUAAUCGGAUCAGGGUAAGUCGGGCCCUAAGGCGCAGCCGAACGGCGCAGCCGAUGGCAGAAACGGUUAAUAUUCCGUUACUAUGAUACGGAGUGACGAGGAGACGGAGAAGUGACACUCUCGCCUGCUGACGGAAUAGCAGGUUGAACGGAGUAGAUAAUGACAUGGUAGGCAAAUCCGCCGUGGCAGUCGAACCGGAUAGUACUGGGCGCCCCCGGGCAACCAGAUAGCAGAGGUAAUCAGGCUCCCGAGAAAAUCCCCUAAACAUAUGCGUAUCAUACCCGUACCCGAAACGGACACACGUGGUUGAGUAGAAAAUACUAAGGCGCUCGAGCGACUCACGGUUAAGGAACUAGGCAAAUUGACCCUGUAACUUCGGGACAAAGGGUCCCUCCCAGGCGGGAGGGCGCAGAGAAUAGGUCCAGGCAACUGUUUAACAAAAACACAGGGCUGUGCAAAAUUGAAAGAUGAAGUAUACAGCCUGACACCUGCCCGGUGCUGGAAGGUUAAGAGGAGAUGUCAUCGCAAGAGAAGCGUUGAAUUGAAGCCCCAGUAAACGGCGGCCGUAACUAUAACGGUCCUAAGGUAGCGAAAUUCCUUGUCGGGUAAGUUCCGACCUGCACGAAUGGUGUAAUGAUCUGGACACUGUCUCAACCGUGAGCUCGGUGAAAUUGUAGUAUCGGUGAAGAUGCCGAUUACCCGCAACGGGACGGAAAGACCCCGUGAACCUUUACUGCAACUUAACAUUGAAUUUGGGUAACUGAUGUGUAGGAUAGUCCGGAGACAGAGAAAUGGAUACGCCAGUAUUCAUGGAGUCACCCUUGAAAUACGGACCUUUGGUUAUUUGAGUUCUAACCCGUGGAAAAUGGGGACACUGUUUGGUGGGUAGUUUGACUGGGGUGGUCGCCUCCAAAAGCGUAACGGAGGCUUCUAAAGGUACCCUCAGGCCGAUUGGUAACCGGCCGUAGAGUGUAAUGGCACAAGGGUGCUUGACUGAGAGACCGACAAGUCGAUCAGGUAGGAAACUAGAGCAUAGUGAUCCGGUGGUUCCGCAUGGAAGGGCCAUCGCUCAAAGGAUAAAAGGUACUCCGGGGAUAACAGGCUGAUCGCUCCCAAGAGCUCAUAUCGACGGAGCGGUUUGGCACCUCGAUGUCGGCUCGUCACAUCCUGGGGCUGGAGAAGGUCCCAAGGGUUGGGCUGUUCGCCCAUUAAAGUGGCACGCGAGCUGGGUUCAGAACGUCGUGAGACAGUUCGGUCCCUAUCUGUUGUGGGCGCAGGAAAUUUGAGGAGACCUGACACUAGUACGAGAGGACCGUGUUGGACAGACCUCUGGUUUAUCAGUUGUUCCGCCAGGGGCAUAGCUGAGUAUCUAAGUCUGGAAAGGAUAAGUGCUGAAAGCAUCUAAGUACGAAGCCAGCUUCAAGAUUAGAUUUCCCUGAAGGGUCGUUGCAGACGACGACGUAGAUAGGUUGCAGAUGUAAAGGCGGUAACGUCAAAGUCGAGCAAUACUAAUCACCCGAGACUUUCCGCC
Molecule: ribosomal RNA, 1784 nt
Filed under: human gut metagenome
Description: bacterial LSU rRNA
Rfam family: Bacterial large subunit ribosomal RNA
Source: RNAcentral